This 377-nucleotide ribosomal RNA is filed under the name uncultured bacterium. RNAcentral's name for it is "bacterial SSU rRNA". It matches the Rfam family "Bacterial small subunit ribosomal RNA", at positions 521 to 896 of the family's 1533-position model. The record is from RNAcentral.
UAAUACGUAGGAGGCGAGCGUUAUUCGGAUUUACUGGGCGUAAAGAGGGCGUAGGCGGUUCUUCAAGUUGGAUGUAAAAUCUCCCGGCUUAACUGGGAGGGAUCGUUCGAUACUGUUGAGCUAGAGGGCAGCAGGGGGAGGUGGAAUUCCCGGUGUAGUGGUGAAAUGCGUAGAUAUCGGGAGGAACACCAGUAGCGAAGGCGGCCUCCUGGGCUGUUGCUGACGCUGAGGCCCGAAAGCGUGGGGAGCAAACAGGAUUAGAUACCCUGGUAGUCCACGCCAUAAACUAUGGACACUAGGUAUGGGGAGUAUCGACCCUCUCUGUGCCGAAGCUAACGCUUUAAGUGUCCCGCCUGGGGAUUACGGCCGCAAGGCUA